Long non-coding RNA from Lycium ferocissimum, 1817 nucleotides. RefSeq lists it as uncharacterized. The record is from RefSeq and is a predicted model, not a curated record. The transcript is spliced from 2 exons. NCBI's taxonomy places the organism in Eukaryota, Viridiplantae, Streptophyta, Magnoliopsida, Solanales, Solanaceae.
UUCGUACGUUGGAUUAUUCAUAAGCUGAGGUGGAUUCCACAUGUCAAGAUUUUUUUAGGACAUAUGACAAGUUAUAUGAAUAAUAUAUGCAAAGUUAAACACAACCCAAGAAGGACCCUUGAGCCAAAUCAAAGUGAAAGCCCUCCAAAAUAAUAUUUUUAAGAUACGUUUUCGGGUGAUUUGAUUUCGGGAGGUCAUAACUCUAUCAACGUUUGGGAAUUUAGGAAAACUCCCAGAAUGAAAGUUUUAGAUAAUUGAAAUAGCUUUUCAACCAUAGGUCGUGGGUAUGCAUGUGACAUCGGGAUAAGGAGAUAUAGACAUUUUAAGGCAGAAAGGUCGAGCUGAACAGUGAAUUCGGCCCAACCCAAUUCCAACUGGGCUCAGGCCCAUUACCUAUGAUAUUUAAUGAAAAUUUUCAGCUUUCUCCUUCAUUUUUCAGACCAAAAUUUCCAGAAUUUUUAGAGAUAGAAAGAGAGAGGAGAGAUAGAGAGAGAAACCAAAUUUCUACCACAAUCUAAGCCCCGAAUCGCGAAGCUCAUGAAGAGAAAAGUGUUGUACGUCGCGUUGCCUUCAAUUUGAGCUAAAAAUCAGCCAAGAAGGAGAGGGUGGAAGUGGUUGCUGCAUACUUAAGGUAAGAUUAAGGUCCAUUUUUCAUUGUUAACAAGUUUAUUUAGAUUUUUAACAGAUUAGAACGGAGAAAAUAGCAUUAUAAACUCGUUUGUUGUUUUGUUGGGAUUUAUGGAUUAAGGGGCUGUUUUAAGUGGAUUAAAUGGAUGGAAUUAGCUGAGUUAUAAUAUAUAAUAAUUGUUGAUAUUGUUGUUGAUGUUGUUGAUAAGUUAUUGUUCUUGAAUUUGGGAGAAUAAAGUAUAUAAAGAUAUUGUAUACAAAGCGUAUACCGGGCUGUUUUGUGCCGAUAUUUGGGGCUAUUUUAUGUAAUUUUCGUGGCUGUUUUGUGACAAUAUUUUAGGGCUGUUUUAUGUAAUUUUCGUGGCUGUUUUGUGACAAUAUUUUGGGGCUGUUUUAUGUAAUUUUCGUGGCUGUUUUGUGACAAUAUUUUGGGGCUGUUUUAUGUAAUUUUCGUGGCUAUUUUGUGACUAUAUUUUGGAGCUGUUUGGUAUAAUAUUUGUGGCUGUUUUGCAAUGAUAUUUUGGGGACUGUUUUAUGGUUGUAUUAGACUGUUUAUGGGCUGGAAUAUCGGGGAUUGGCUAUAGUUGUUGCUGUUAUAUUAUGGAUAUACGGAAAUAAAGAAGUGUAUACAAGCAUUGGCAUCCGAAUGUAUAUUGGGCUGUUUUGGGAGCAAUUUAAGAAUGGAUUUAAUUUUAGUUUGAUAUGAAAUUGUUGGUAUUUUUAUUGAUGUUUGGCUAAGUUGGAAUUUCGAGGAUUGUUAAAUUUACAGGGGAAAUGCUGCCCGAAUUUUGUUAAGUUUCAUUCGUACUUGGAUUGGUUAGUAAGUGAUGUGGAUAAUCUAACUGUGGCCUAUGUUAUCUUAAUUUAAGACCUGCGAGCUCGAGAAGUAGACGUUGGACAUUAGAUAGAGUUCAAGGUAGACAGGGAGGUGAGCUUGGUCCAGACCCUUAGUAGUUGUCAGCUGAUUGAGAGCACUCCUUUGUCUGGAGGUGCUUAUGAUUCUUCUUUUGGUAUAUAUGCAUAUUUUGGGCACAAUGGAGUCUUGUUCCGUCUAUAUGUUUAGUAUGUCAGUAGAGGCUCGUAGAUACGCAGUGCGGGUCAGAUGGUCUCACAAGAUGUUAUUAUUAUGUAUAUAUUAUUUUGAUGGCCGAGAGGCAAAUGUAUAUAAGUAUUUAUAUUUCUAUAUAAAA